UACACACCGCCCGUCACACCAUGAGAGCUGUUUGUACCCAAAAUCAUUUUAGCCAACCUGUAAAGGGGCGGAUGCCUAAGGUAUGUAUGGUAAUUGGGGUG
This 101-nucleotide ribosomal RNA is filed under the name uncultured bacterium. Its description in RNAcentral is "partial 16S ribosomal RNA". The record is from RNAcentral.